GACGAACCGUCCUAACGUUAUUCGGAAUUACUGGGCUUAAAGCGCGUGUAGGCGGGACGACACGUCCGUCGCUGAAAUCCCCCGGCUCAACCGGGGAACGGGCGCGGAUACGAUCGUCCUGGAGGGGUGUAGGGGGACCUGGAACUUCCGGUGGAGCGGUGAAAUGCGUUGAGAUCGGAAGGAACGCCCGUGGCGAAAGCGAGGUCCUGGACACUUUCUGACGCUGAGACGCGAAAGCCAGGGGAGCAAACGGG
RNAcentral lists this ribosomal RNA (254 nucleotides) under uncultured bacterium. Its description in RNAcentral is "partial 16S ribosomal RNA". It matches the Rfam family "Bacterial small subunit ribosomal RNA", at positions 524 to 776 of the family's 1533-position model. The record is from RNAcentral.